UUACCCGCUGAAAUUAAGCAUAUCAAUAAGCGGAGGAAAAGAAACUAACAAGGAUUCCCCUAGUAACUGCGAGUGAAGCGGGAAAAGCUCAAAUUUAAAAUCUGGCGGUCUCUGGCCGUCCGAGUUGUAAUCUAGAGAAGUAAUGCCCGUGCUGGACCGUGUAUAAGUCUCCUGGGAUGGGGCGUCAUAGAGGGUGAGAAUCCCGUCUUUGACACGGACUACCAGUGCAUUGUGGUAUGCUCUCAAAGAGUCGAGUUGUUUGGGAAUGCAGCUCAAAAUGGGUGGUAAAUUCCAUCUAAAGCUAAAUAUUGGCGAGAGACCGAUAGCGAACAAGUACCGUGAGGGAAAGAUGAAAAGAACUUUGGAAAGAGAGUUAAACAGUACGUGAAAUUGCUGAAAGGGAAACGCUUGAAGUCAGUCGCGUUGGCCGGGGAUCAGCCUUGCUUUUGCAUGGUGUAUUUUCUGGUUGACGGGUCAGCAUCAAUUUUGACCGCUGGAAAAAGACCUGGGGAAUGUGGCAGCUUCGGCUGUGUUAUAGCCCCUAGUCGCAUACAGUGGUUGGGAUUGAGGAACUCAGCACGCCGCAAGGCCGGGUUUCGACCACGUUCGUGCUUAGGAUGCUGGCAUAAUGGCUUUAAGCGACCCGUCUUGAAACACGGACCAAGGAGUCUAACAUGCCUGCGAGUAUUUGGGUGGAAAACCCAAGUGCGUAAUGAAAGUGAAAGUUGAGAUCCCUGUCGUGGGGAGCAUCGACGCCCGGACCAGAACUUUUGGGACGGAUCCGCGGUGGAGCAUGUAUGUUGGGACCCGAAAGAUGGUGAACUAUGCCUGAAUAGGGUGAAGCCAGAGGAAACUCUGGUGGAGGCUCGUAGCGAUUCUGACGUGCAAAUCGAUCGUCAAAUUUGGGUAUAGGGGCGAAAGACUAAUCGAACCAUCAAGGGC
RNAcentral lists this ribosomal RNA (942 nucleotides) under Agaricus arvensis. RNAcentral's name for it is "eukaryotic LSU rRNA". It matches the Rfam family "Eukaryotic large subunit ribosomal RNA", at positions 21 to 951 of the family's 3401-position model. The record is from RNAcentral. Lineage: Eukaryota; Fungi; Basidiomycota; Agaricomycetes; Agaricales; Agaricaceae.